This 565-nucleotide ribosomal RNA is filed under the name uncultured bacterium. RNAcentral's name for it is "partial 16S ribosomal RNA". It matches the Rfam family "Bacterial small subunit ribosomal RNA", at positions 355 to 914 of the family's 1533-position model. The record is from RNAcentral.
UGGGGAAUUUUGGACAAUGGGCGCAAGCCUGAUCCAGCCAUGCCGCGUGCGGGAAGAAGGCCUUCGGGUGUAAACCGCUUUUGUCAGGGAAGAAAUCUUCUGAGUUAAUACCUCGGGAGGAUGACGGUACCUGAAGAAUAAGCACCGGCUAACUACGUGCCAGCAGCCGCGGUAAUACGUAGGGUGCAAGCGUUAAUCGGAAUUACUGGGCGUAAAGCGUGCGCAGGCGGUUUUGUAAGACAGAGGUGAAAUCCCCGGGCUCAACCUGGGAACUGCCUUUGUGACUGCAAGGCUUGAGUGCGGCAGAGGGGGGAUGGAAUUCCGCGUGUAGCAGUGAAAUGCGUAGAUAUGCGGAGGAACACCGAUGGCGAAGGCAAUCCCCUGGGCCUGCACUGACGCUCAUGCACGAAAGCGUGGGGAGCAAACAGGAUUAGAUACCCUGGUAGUCCACGCCCUAAACGAUGUCAACUGGUUGUUGGGAAGGUUCCUUCUCAGUAACGUAGCUAACGCGUGAAGUUGACCGCCUGGGGAGUACGGCCGCAAGGUUGAAACUAAAGGAAUUGAC